Pteronotus mesoamericanus is the source of this 102-nucleotide small nuclear RNA. The record is from RefSeq and is a predicted model, not a curated record. Lineage: Eukaryota; Metazoa; Chordata; Mammalia; Chiroptera; Mormoopidae.
UUGUUUCAGCAGCAAAUUUACUAAAACCAGUAUGAUACAGAGAAGAUUAGCCUGGCCCUGUGCAAAGAUGGCAAGCAAAUUGAGAAAGUGUUCCAUAUUUUU